GACGAACCGUGCGAACGUUAUUUGGAAUCACUGGGCUUAAAGGGUGCGUAGGCUGCGAGGAGGGUGGGGUGUGAAAUCCCUCGGCCUAACCGAGGAAUUGCGCUCCAAACCGCCUUGCUGGAGUGAGACAGAGGUGAGCGGAACUAAUGGUGGAGCGGUGAAAUGCGUUGAUAUCAUUAGGAACACCAGAGGCGAAGGCGGCUCACUGGGUCUCAACUGACGCUGAUGCACGAAAGCUAGGGUAGCGAACGGG
Molecule: ribosomal RNA, 253 nt
Filed under: uncultured bacterium
Lineage: Bacteria
Description: partial 16S ribosomal RNA
Rfam family: Bacterial small subunit ribosomal RNA
Source: RNAcentral